CCUANGGGGGGCAGCAGUAAGGAAUAUUGGGCAAUGGACGCAAGUCUGACCCAGCCAUGCCGCGUGAAGGAUGAAGGUCCUCUGGAUUGUAAACUUCUUUUCUCUGGGGCGAAAACCAGCUAUUCUUAGCUAUUUGACAGUACCAGAGGAAUAAGCACCGGCUAACUCCGUGCCAGCAGCCGCGGUAAUACGGAGGGUGCAAGCGUUAUCCGGAUUCACUGGGUUUAAAGGGUGCGUAGGUGGGCUAGUAAGUCAGUGGUGAAAUCCCCGAGCUUAACUUGGGAACUGCCGUUGAUACUAUUAGUCUUGAAUAUCGUGGAGGUAAGCGGAAUAUGUCAUGUAGCGGUGAAAUGCUUAGAUAUGACAUAGAACACCAAUUGCGAAGGCAGCUUGCUACACGGUCAUUGACACUGAGGCACGAAAGCGUGGGGAGCAAACAGGAUUAGAUACCCGANUANUC
RNAcentral lists this ribosomal RNA (460 nucleotides) under uncultured bacterium. RNAcentral's name for it is "bacterial SSU rRNA". It matches the Rfam family "Bacterial small subunit ribosomal RNA", at positions 338 to 795 of the family's 1533-position model. The record is from RNAcentral.